This 621-nucleotide ribosomal RNA is filed under the name uncultured bacterium. RNAcentral describes it as "bacterial SSU rRNA". It matches the Rfam family "Bacterial small subunit ribosomal RNA", at positions 338 to 955 of the family's 1533-position model. The record is from RNAcentral.
CCUACGGGAGGCAGCAGUAAGGAAUAUUGGACAAUGCUCGCAAGAGUGAUCCAGCCAUGCCGCGUGCAGGAAGAAUGCCCUAUGGGUAGUAAACUGCUUUUGAACUAGAGAAAACCCCAGUACGUGUACUGGGCUGAUAGUAUAGUUAGAAUAAGCAUCGGCUAACUUCGUGCCAGCAGCCGCGGUAAGACGAAGGAUGCAAGCGUUAUCCGGAUUCAUUGGGUUUAAAGGGAGCGUAGGUGGACUGAUAAGUCAGUGGUGAAAUCUCCGAGCUUAACUCGGAAAUUGCCAUUGAUACUGUUGGUCUUGAGUACAGUUGCUGUGGGCGGAAUAUGACAUGUAGUGGUGAAAUACAUAGAGAUGUCAUAGAACACCGAUUGCGAAGGCAGCUCACAAAGCUGUAACUGACACUGAGGCUCGAAAGUGCGGGGAUCAAACAGGAUUAGAUACCCUGGUAGUCCGCACCGUAAACGAUGAUUACUCGCUGCUAGGGGGCAACCUUUAAGUGGCUUAGCGAAAAGCGAUAAGUAAUCCACCUGGGGAGUACGCCGGCAACGGUGAAACGUCAAAAGGAAAUUAGACGGGCGNGAGAGNGCGACGGACGACACGAGGGAGGAGGAG